RNAcentral lists this transfer RNA (70 nucleotides) under Parastagonospora nodorum. RNAcentral's name for it is "tRNA-Val". It matches the Rfam family "tRNA". From Rfam's summary of the family: Transfer RNA (tRNA) molecules are approximately 80 nucleotides in length. Their secondary structure includes four short double-helical elements and three loops (D, anti-codon, and T loops). Further hydrogen bonds mediate the characteristic L-shaped molecular structure. tRNAs have two regions of fundamental functional importance: the anti-codon, which is responsible for specific mRNA codon recognition, and the 3' end, to which the tRNAs corresponding amino acid is attached (by aminoacyl-tRNA synthetases). tRNAs cope with the degeneracy of the genetic code in two manners: having more than one tRNA (with a specific anti-codon) for a particular amino acid; and 'wobble' base-pairing, i.e. permitting non-standard base-pairing at the 3rd anti-codon position. Lineage: Eukaryota; Fungi; Ascomycota; Dothideomycetes; Pleosporales; Phaeosphaeriaceae. RNAcentral also lists the same sequence under 1 other name. The record is from RNAcentral.
GGAACUUGGUCCAGUGGUAAGACGUUCGCACAACAUGCGAAAGACCUGCGUUCGAUUCGCAGGAUGUCCA